RNAcentral lists this ribosomal RNA (1946 nucleotides) under Salmonella enterica subsp. enterica serovar Onireke. Its description in RNAcentral is "partial 23S ribosomal RNA". It matches the Rfam family "Bacterial large subunit ribosomal RNA", at positions 956 to 2802 of the family's 2925-position model. The record is from RNAcentral. Lineage: Bacteria; Pseudomonadati; Pseudomonadota; Gammaproteobacteria; Enterobacterales; Enterobacteriaceae.
GCGAAUACCGGAGAAUGUUAUCACGGGAGACACACGGCGGGUGCUAACGUCCGUCGUGAAGAGGGAAACAACCCAGACCGCCAGCUAAGGUCCCAAAGUCAUGGUUAAGUGGGAAACGAUGUGGGAAGGCCCAGACAGCCAGGAUGUUGGCUUAGAAGCAGCCAUCAUUUAAAGAAAGCGUAAUAGCUCACUGGUCGAGUCGGCCUGCGCGGAAGAUGUAACGGGGCUAAACCAUGCACCGAAGCUGCGGCAGCGAACGUAUCACUUAAAGUGAUUCAGCGGGUUACGAUUGACGGAGCGAAGCGACGUCAAAGCGUAUACAAAGUCGAGUCGGUUUAAGGAUACGUUCGUUGGGUAGGGGAGCGUUCUGUAAGCCUGUGAAGGUGUGUCGUGAGGCAUGCUGGAGGUAUCAGAAGUGCGAAUGCUGACAUAAGUAACGAUAAAGCGGGUGAAAAGCCCGCUCGCCGGAAGACCAAGGGUUCCUGUCCAACGUUAAUCGGGGCAGGGUGAGUCGACCCCUAAGGCGAGGCCGAAAGGCGUAGUCGAUGGGAAACGGGUUAAUAUUCCCGUACUUGGUGUUACUGCGAAGGGGGGACGGAGAAGGCUAUGUUGGCCGGGCGACGGUUGUCCCGGUUUAAGCGUGUAGGUGUGUGUUCCAGGUAAAUCCGGUUCACUUUAACACUGAGGCGUGACGACGAGGCACUACGGUGCUGAAGCAACAAAUGCCCUGCUUCCAGGAAAAGCCUCUAAGCAUCAGGUAACAUCAAAUCGUACCCCAAACCGACACAGGUGGUCAGGUAGAGAAUACCAAGGCGCUUGAGAGAACUCGGGUGAAGGAACUAGGCAAAAUGGUGCCGUAACUUCGGGAGAAGGCACGCUGACACGUAGGUGAAGUGAUUUACUCAUGGAGCUGAAGUCAGUCGAAGAUACCAGCUGGCUGCAACUGUUUAUUAAAAACACAGCACUGUGCAAACACGAAAGUGGACGUAUACGGUGUGACGCCUGCCCGGUGCCGGAAGGUUAAUUGAUGGGGUCAGCGCAAGCGAAGCUCCUGAUCGAAGCCCCGGUAAACGGCGGCCGUAACUAUAACGGUCCUAAGGUAGCGAAAUUCCUUGUCGGGUAAGUUCCGACCUGCACGAAUGGCGUAAUGAUGGCCAGGCUGUCUCCACCCGAGACUCAGUGAAAUUGAACUCGCUGUGAAGAUGCAGUGUACCCGCGGCAAGACGGAAAGACCCCGUGAACCUUUACUAUAGCUUGACACUGAACAUUGAGCCUUGAUGUGUAGGAUAGGUGGGAGGCUUUGAAGUGUGGACGCCAGUCUGCAUGGAGCCGACCUUGAAAUACCACCCUUUAAUGUUUGAUGUUCUAACGUGGACCCGUAAUCCGGGUUGCGGACAGUGUCUGGUGGGUAGUUUGACUGGGGCGGUCUCCUCCUAAAGAGUAACGGAGGAGCACGAAGGUUGGCUAAUCCUGGUCGGACAUCAGGAGGUUAGUGCAAUGGCAUAAGCCAGCUUGACUGCGAGCGUGACGGCGCGAGCAGGUGCGAAAGCAGGUCAUAGUGAUCCGGUGGUUCUGAAUGGAAGGGCCAUCGCUCAACGGAUAAAAGGUACUCCGGGGAUAACAGGCUGAUACCGCCCAAGAGUUCAUAUCGACGGCGGUGUUUGGCACCUCGAUGUCGGCUCAUCACAUCCUGGGGCUGAAGUAGGUCCCAAGGGUAUGGCUGUUCGCCAUUUAAAGUGGUACGCGAGCUGGGUUUAGAACGUCGUGAGACAGUUCGGUCCCUAUCUGCCGUGGGCGCUGGAGAACUGAGGGGGGCUGCUCCUAGUACGAGAGGACCGGAGUGGACGCAUCACUGGUGUUCGGGUUGUCAUGCCAAUGGCACUGCCCGGUAGCUAAAUGCGGAAGAGAUAAGUGCUGAAAGCAUCUAAGCACGAAACUUGCCCCGA